RNAcentral lists this long non-coding RNA (374 nucleotides) under Eucalyptus grandis. RNAcentral's name for it is "long non-coding RNA (EGRA_LNC007258)". Lineage: Eukaryota; Viridiplantae; Streptophyta; Magnoliopsida; Myrtales; Myrtaceae. The record is from RNAcentral.
UUUCCUCCAAUCCGGAGUGGAGAAUACUUGAAAGAACGGCUCCGGCUCACGUAUGGAGUGUAGUUUAACGUCUUGUUCAACUGAACGAAGUGUCCUACAUUAAAACUAUCAUGUGGAGCGUCGAUAGUAACAUAAUGUUCAGCUAGCUGCUAAACAAUUUCAGCUUCUACUUGGACACCAUACGUAUCUGUGUCCAUACAUGAUCAGUAAGAUGAGAAGUGUCCAAUUUCACUUGAUUUCCUCCUUGUCUCCUCGGUCACAGCUCUCCUUCAUACUGGAGCUCCUCCCCCCCCCCCCCCUUCCCCUUUUCCAACGCCCCAAAAAAAAUGAAAAAAAGAAAAAAAAUCUUGUUGAACCUCCUUUGAAAAUGCUGC